This 460-nucleotide ribosomal RNA is filed under the name uncultured bacterium. Its description in RNAcentral is "partial 16S ribosomal RNA". It matches the Rfam family "Bacterial small subunit ribosomal RNA", at positions 338 to 795 of the family's 1533-position model. The record is from RNAcentral.
CCUACGGGAGGCAGCAGUGAGGAAUAUUGGUCAAUGGACGAGAGUCUGAACCAGCCAAGUAGCGUGAAGGAUGACUGCCCUAUGGGUUGUAAACUUCUUUUAUAUGGGAAUAAAACGUUCCACGUGUGGGAUUUUGUAUGUACCAUAUGAAUAAGGAUCGGCUAACUCCGUGCCAGCAGCCGCGGUAAUACGGAGGAUCCGAGCGUUAUCCGGAUUUAUUGGGUUUAAAGGGAGCGUAGGUGGAUUGUUAAGUCAGUUGUGAAAGUUUGCGGCUCAACCGUAAAAUUGCAGUUGAAACUGGCAGUCUUGAGUACAGUAGAGGUGGGCGGAAUUCGUGGUGUAGCGGUGAAAUGCUUAGAUAUCACGAAGAACUCCGAUUGCGAAGGCAGUUCACUGGACUGUAACUGACGCUGAGGCUCGAAAGUGUGGGUAUCAAACAGGAUUAGAUACCCUUGUAGUC